AACUGGCCUUCCAAAUGACAGCACCCACACGGAAAAAGCUCUUGCUUCUCGGAAAUAUCUAUCUUAUGCUUCUAGCAAAAUAUAAGGAUACUUCUGAAGUGCAUAAUAGUGAAUUGAAGUUUUCAUCACUUUAUAUUUCAUUUAACAUAAGAAAAAGUGAUCGUGAGUUAGUUAAAACGAUUUAAACACACGGACUUUCUCGUUUUGAAGUUAUCAAUCCAAACCGGAAAUGCAUCAGCACUUAGGUAUUUUUUCUGUGUCCGACUUAUUUGUGGUGGUGACUAUCCCUUUCAAGCGGCCAAAUUCUGGACUUCAAACUCCAUAUAAGGAUUGUGUCACUAGUGACCAGACGGCCGGGAGUCAGAGAAACAGUCCACUUGUUGUCCACGUCUCAUCGGGUUCCUGCGUGGUUCGUAACCGUUCCCCCCAAGCUCUUCUUGGAAGCCGGGCGACACGCCCCAAUAGGAGACCCCUUUUCAGGACACACCCCCAGUUAUGAAAGGUAUUGCGUAUGCGCUCUUCCAUAUAAGGAGCUGUUUUGCCUCGUGACCCGGCCUGCAUGAAGUGUGUGUACGUGGGUUGGGAGGACAAUUACUCUGUGACGCAGUUCAGCAGGCGGGCUGUGUUUACGUGUCUUUUGACUACGUCCCUACUGAGAAACUGGUAAACAACUGAGUUUGGCUGAAAAACAAAACAUCUGCUUGCCCUUGAGGAAAAAAUAGAGCAAGUGACCUGUGAGGAGAUAAGAGUUUUGGCAUGUUGCCUCUGAGAAGCCAGAAGGAUAUCUAGGGCAAAUUAAGUGUCUUUUUCGUGUGUGUUGCACAACAAUGGUCCAUAGCAUUGAUCUGUUAUUACAGGUAGUAAAGAAUGAAUAACAAACAAGUGUGAUCCAGUCACAUAUUUCUGGGAUCCAGCUAUACAUGUUGUCAGUGUGAAAUAUUUUCCAACAUGUCAUGAACAUGUAAACAUGGGAAGGGGGAAAGGUCAACGUACUGUAGUACAAUCUGUGGGAACCUGGUGUCAAGGACACGUUUGUUUGGGAGAAGGUCUUCUUUUACUGAUUUGAAAUGUCAUUCUUUACAAUUAUUCUUCAGCAUCACAGAGAAAAUUUAAGUUCCUUUUUUUGUUUACAGAUAAUAUCUGUACCUUGAAAAAGUUCUUAGUCGGGAAAAGACUAAAAGACCUCUGACAAAUAAUGUGAUUGAAUUUCUGUUCUCCACAGAAUGUUGACAAAAUGUUGACAAGAAAAACAGGGAAUAACUGGCAGUACAAAGGCUGGGGUAGAAAAUAUUGUUCACGUUGUUGGCAUUAGUGUAUUUUUGUUUGUGCUAGGGUCCCUGUACCAGUGUGUGUUGUGUCUAUACAAGUAGAUGACAAUGUGAGUUGUUUAUGAAAAAAAAAAUUGUUUUUAUUGUCAUGAUGAUGUAAUUAACUGAUGCCAGAAUUUCUCUAUGUAACCUGAUUUGUUUUUCUUAUCCUACAAGUGCCAAAACAAAUUUGGAUGAAAAUAUUUUUUUGUACACUAUCAAUUUGAAUAUUAAACUUCCAAACUGUUGACAGAUGCCAAAAUAUUAAUGUACAUGUAUGAAAUCCUAUGCAUGAAGAAUUACACAUAUCACAUUUACAGAUAUGGUCAGAAGCCAUGGAAAUGGCACAGAGAUUUCUCUUUGAUAUGUUUACUGAUUGUGUACACAUGUAACCUAAGUCAAUCUUUAAUUGGGUUAAGCUAACAACAUGCAAUAGCUUGGUUGCUGUUCCUUUCCAGACAACGUGCUUGCAAUUUUUGAUUCUCAAUCAAUACCAAGAGACACUAUUAUUCAGUGACCUACUUCCAGAGGGAAGGUCGCUAGCCCUAAGUCCAGUGAUGAGGAAGUAAUACUAGUGAAGGAAUAGAAGCUUUUACUGUUUCCUCCUUAUAAACUGUAUAAUCACCAGGAGAUUAGGUCCAUUAACGUAAAUGUGGACUGGUAGUAAUGAUCCAUUAAAGAAGUCGUUUACGUGAAAAAGAUUUGUUGGAAGAGUGAAAUUUGAUUGACAAGAAAAUUAUCAGGUAAACGGUAUCACAUGCCAGAGUCCUGAAAAAUUUCUUGCUUUUUGUGAAUACCCUCAUAUCAUUUGAAACAAUAUAACAUGAAUAGUUGAAUUAUAUCACAAACUCAGACAUGGUAUAAUUGUUAAUGCUGAUAAUGUAGGCUGAGGCUCAGAGUCAGGGAAGACAGUUCAAGUUGAUAUUUACAUGGUUGUCAAUCUUUUCAUGCACCAAAUUCUCAAAGUGGCAGUGCAUUUAGGAAGACAUGGCCAGCACAUUUGACCUUCACACAAGCCCAUAACAGAGAGGACAUAAAACAGUCAUGCAAAGGUCAAGUUGCUGUCAUCCUGAGUUGCAGUGAGUUCACAUAUCCUUCAAGAUCUACAUGAUAAGAAUUUUGGAAGAUAUUUUGAUGACUGCUUUUCAGUUCACUCAUCUCUUGCCUGCUAUGUAUUAAUUUUUUUUCAAAUCAAAGCCAAAAGCCAACUAAACCUAGAAAAGCUACACCUACUGAUGGCCUUUGAUUUAUGUUUCCUUUUCACCAUGGUUAAUGACUAGAGACAGGUUUUUAAUCUUUGCAAUCCAAUGACAGAUUGUUUGACACACAAAAAAAAAGACAUGCCAGGGUCAACAGGUUUUUGCAAGGGUUGGUGGAGAACCAUAGAACACAACAUGUUUUUCUCCAGGCCUAAGCCCAGUCAAUGACCUGACAUUAAAAGUAGUUACAUCAGCCCUACAAAAAACAAGCAUUAUGUCACUUCAGGCCAGUGACCCUGUUUACCAUGCUGUAAGCUCAUGUGACAUGCCAUACUAUCUGUGACACCUUUAUAGUUACUACUGAUCAGUAUGGCUCAGCAACGUGUUAACGCUUGUGUAUUACUUUGAAUGACUGGUUUGUUUGUUUGUUUGUCACUAUAACAUUUGUGCUAAUGUUCGAUUAUAAAUACUAGUAAAUUACAGGUACAGUUUUAAAACUAGUCCAUACCUAAAACCCCUGCUGACACUUAAAGGUUGUUGACUCCUUGUUUUUUUUGGGUGAAGUUGUGAGAAGAGCUUGCAUGAGGACACGUGUGUGCAGCACAUCUCCGCAUGUGCUUGUGCAGAUAACGCCCCUCAACACCAGAAUGUCAACGGUGCUCAGGCUGAUAGCAGUGUUUACCAGGUCAGGCUAUGUUCCCUUCACCUGCUGGGGCACGUGUGGAGGCUCCACUCGACCCACAGGUCAGUGUACUACAUUGGAUACAAAGGAUCACAUGUAAUGAACAUCAUCUCGUGAGCACUGACAGAUGAGAGCAUAAUUGUGACUCCUGGGAUGCUCAACAACUCCGUCAGUUUCCACAGUGCUGUAAGUUUGACCAAUGAUGGAACCCCCUUGGUUAGAUCUCCUUACUUCUCAAAAGGGGUGACAUCUGUGAGGUCAAGGCCAUUUGGAGAACUUAGUGAAGGAACCACAAAACCAGAAACAUUGCAAGAGAAGGACAGCACAG
This is an RNA transcript of Branchiostoma belcheri (Belcher's lancelet), 3516 nucleotides long. RefSeq lists it as uncharacterized. The record is from RefSeq and is a predicted model, not a curated record. The transcript is spliced from 2 exons. NCBI's taxonomy places the organism in Eukaryota, Metazoa, Chordata, Leptocardii, Amphioxiformes, Branchiostomatidae.